CGGAGGAUCCAAGCGUUAUCCGGAUUUAUUGGGUUUAAAGGGUGCGUAGGCGGCUAAUUAAGUCAGGGGUGAAAGACGGUGGCUCAACCAUCGCAGUGCCCUUGAUACUGAUGAGCUUGAAUACACUUGAGGUAGGCGGAAUGUGACAAGUAGCGGUGAAAUGCAUAGAUAUGUCACAGAACACCAAUUGCGAAGGCAGCUUACUAAGGUGCAAUUGACGCUGAGGCACGAAAGCGUGGGGAUCAAACAGGAUUAGAUACCCUGGUAGUCCACGCCCUAAACGAUGAAUACUCGAUGUUAGCGAUAUACAGUUAGCGUCUAAGCGAAAGCGUUAAGUAUUCCACCUGGGGAGUACGCCCGCAAGGGUG
This 368-nucleotide ribosomal RNA is filed under the name uncultured organism. Its description in RNAcentral is "bacterial SSU rRNA". It matches the Rfam family "Bacterial small subunit ribosomal RNA", at positions 526 to 896 of the family's 1533-position model. The record is from RNAcentral.